This is a long non-coding RNA of Saccostrea cuccullata (small rock oyster), 200 nucleotides long. RefSeq lists it as uncharacterized. Lineage: Eukaryota; Metazoa; Mollusca; Bivalvia; Ostreida; Ostreidae. The transcript has 3 exons. The record is from RefSeq and is a predicted model, not a curated record.
GCUCCUGGAUCUUACAUCUGAGGACAUGAAUUAUGACGUAAGGACAGCUACAACACCAGUACAGCAAACUACAGGUGCGUUGUUGCUGGAUCUUACCUCAGAGGACAUAAAUUAUGACGUAACUACAGCUGCAACACCAAUACAAGAAACAACAGGAGCAUUGUUGCUGGAUCUUACAUCAGAGGACAUGAAUUAUGAUG